This is a long non-coding RNA of Nicotiana attenuata, 600 nucleotides long. RefSeq lists it as uncharacterized. The record is from RefSeq and is a predicted model, not a curated record. Lineage: Eukaryota; Viridiplantae; Streptophyta; Magnoliopsida; Solanales; Solanaceae. The transcript is spliced from 3 exons.
UUAUUUACCUCAAAAAUAUAAGGGGCUAACUAGAAUUUACUUUCUAAAGUUACCUCAAUCUCAAAUACUCCCGCGUUUAUUUACCUCCAAGCCGCCACCCUAAAAAGGGAAAAAAUUACCGUGGAAGAAAUCGGCGAUCAAUUUCCGAUUAGUCCUUCUCAGGUUAAAUUUAGUCGAUGAAACGGCAAUGGGUGAUACUGGUAUAUUCCGGUUUUACGGGCUCGGAGAGUGAGUUAUUGAGCUCGCCGAGUAGUUCAUUUGGGAGAAUUUCCGACAAGGUUAAUAUAGCUCCGGCGAGGAGGUCUCUCUUAUCGGAUUCAAGAUAAGUUUGUAGAUCUUUUCUUGGCGGUGAAUGACUGCAAUGUGAAAGAUGCUCCGGCUUUCCUCAUCAACCUUCCAAAUGAGAUCUGGAUAAGACUGAAUAAGCUCAACUAUGAACUUAAAAUUUCCCAACUCUGCUGCUACAAACAAUGGCCGCGACGGACUUCUGAGUUCACCCCAUUAUACAAAAACAAAGCAUAUAUAGAAAUUAAAAGCAUUGAGAAAUAUUUUUUGCUUAACUGGGCCUGAGGAAGGAAGUGGGAAGUGUCUGAGGAGCAG